UGGUUGUCUACAAAAGGCGCUGGUCCCCAUAUUCUAACAGUGCCAUCAUCAGAGGCGCUGGCCAUCAUGGAUGGAAUCUGCGGGUUCCAGCUCACACAGUUAACAGUACGUGUGUGCCCUGUCAGCUCCGCAAUUGGCAGCUCGCUACGCUUGUGCCAAAUAUAUACUUUGUGAUCUUCGCUGCCACUCGCAAUGAAGUCUUCAUUAUGACCCCCAAAACAUGAGUGAAUUGUGUAAAAUCCUUGUGUAACUCCUUGAUACUUCCUCACUAAAACUCUGUCUUGUAAGUCCCAUAAGUGAACUCCCUGAGUUGCUACAUUUAACAAAGCUAAGCGGCCAUUUUUUGAAAUAGUAAACGACAUUAUAGGGUGAUCUUCUUGUACUAUGUUCCUGUCUGUAAGAUCCUCAAAGUUAUAACCCCGAAUUCGCUGGUGUGUGUCCGACGCUAGAACAGUUUUUCCAUCACUCAAGCACCAAAGGCAUUGUACUCUUACCCCUUCCCAGGAGUCAAGGAGAUUACCAUCUAAGUCACACUGAUAGAACUGUCCACGCUGACCUCCUGUUACAAAACGCUUCCCAUCAGGAUUCCAGGCCACGCUUGUUAAACUGUCUUCAUGAGAUUGGCUCAUUUUUGUCCUCAGCUCCCCAGUUUGUACAUUCCAGAGCCAAAGCUCAGAACAAUCAUCUGGGCCACAGGCAACAAGAUAGUUGUCAUCUGGACUCCAAGCAAUAUAAGAGACUCCAUAUGCGUGACCUUCUAACGUCUUAAGUAGUUUUAGCUGGUGAGUAUCUGGAUCAACCUGCCAUAUAAUAACAGUUGUAUCCUUGGAUCCUGUUGCUAGUUUAGUGCCAUCAUUGGAGAAUUUACAGAACCACACUUCAUUACAGUGCUCCGUUAGUAUCUGCUGUGUAUAGCAAGGGAACUGUUUCCUACUACAAACAUGAUCUAUAAGCAGCGAGACAGAAUCUAGAUUACUAUCUAGUUUGGUAUUAUGAUAUAGGCACCGGUCCCGUUGUAGUUCCACAGCCUGACGUAGCAGGUUCUGUAAACGCCUUGGAGGAAGCAUCACUGAUGGGGGUAGGUAUGUCUGGAGUUUGUCCAAAAGUUUAGAUCUGGAAGCUGUUCCUUU
This 1130-nucleotide long non-coding RNA is filed under the name Gallus gallus (chicken). The record is from RNAcentral. Lineage: Eukaryota; Metazoa; Chordata; Aves; Galliformes; Phasianidae.